AAAAAAACAUCAUUAAGAUUUUCCCUGCAAAAUCUAGGAGGUACUGCUACUGACAUGGAUAUCAAUGGCUCUUGGCAGUUGUCCAUAUUUCAAAUGACGCUAAAUAAGGUAUGCAAAUUGGAUGAAUGAAAACAUCAUGUAAUGGCAUAAAAGUGUAUACGAUUGCACAUGAAGUUAGGGAAACAUUCUUUUUUUGGGCAUUUAAACUAAUGCACUACAGCAGUAAGAGAAAGCAGGGUAAACAAAUCAUGCGCAUGACAUACG
RNAcentral lists this unclassified non-coding RNA (264 nucleotides) under Hevea brasiliensis (rubber tree). Lineage: Eukaryota; Viridiplantae; Streptophyta; Magnoliopsida; Malpighiales; Euphorbiaceae. The record is from RNAcentral.